RNAcentral lists this ribosomal RNA (1372 nucleotides) under uncultured bacterium. RNAcentral's name for it is "bacterial SSU rRNA". It matches the Rfam family "Bacterial small subunit ribosomal RNA", at positions 28 to 1381 of the family's 1533-position model. The record is from RNAcentral.
GAUGAACGCUGGCGGCGUGCCUAAUACAUGCAAGUCGAGCGAACGGACGAGAAGCUUGCUUCUCUGAUGUUAGCGGCGGACGGGUGAGUAACACGUGGAUAACCUACCUAUAAGACUGGGAUAACUUCGGGAAACCGGAGCUAAUACCGGAUAAUAUUUUGAACCGCAUGGUUCAAAAGUGAAAGACGGUCUUGCUGUCACUUAUAGAUGGAUCCGCGCUGCAUUAGCUAGUUGGUAAGGUAACGGCUUACCAAGGCAACGAUGCAUAGCCGACCUGAGAGGGUGAUCGGCCACACUGGAACUGAGACACGGUCCAGACUCCUACGGGAGGCAGCAGUAGGGAAUCUUCCGCAAUGGGCGAAAGCCUGACGGAGCAACGCCGCGUGAGUGAUGAAGGUCUUCGGAUCGUAAAACUCUGUUAUUAGGGAAGAACAUAUGUGUAAGUAACUGUGCACAUCUUGACGGUACCUAAUCAGAAAGCCACGGCUAACUACGUGCCAGCAGCCGCGGUAAUACGUAGGUGGCAAGCGUUAUCCGGAAUUAUUGGGCGUAAAGCGCGCGUAGGCGGUUUUUUAAGUCUGAUGUGAAAGCCCACGGCUCAACCGUGGAGGGUCAUUGGAAACUGGAAAACUUGAGUGCAGAAGAGGAAAGUGGAAUUCCAUGUGUAGCGGUGAAAUGCGCAGAGAUAUGGAGGAACACCAGUGGCGAAGGCGACUUUCUGGUCUGUAACUGACGCUGAUGUGCGAAAGCGUGGGGAUCAAACAGGAUUAGAUACCCUGGUAGUCCACGCCGUAAACGAUGAGUGCUAAGUGUUAGGGGGUUUCCGCCCCUUAGUGCUGCAGCUAACGCAUUAAGCACUCCGCCUGGGGAGUACGACCGCAAGGUUGAAACUCAAAGGAAUUGACGGGGACCCGCACAAGCGGUGGAGCAUGUGGUUUAAUUCGAAGCAACGCGAAGAACCUUACCAAAUCUUGACAUCCUUUGACAACUCUAGAGAUAGAGCCUUCCCCUUCGGGGGACAAAGUGACAGGUGGUGCAUGGUUGUCGUCAGCCCGUGUCGUGAGAUGUUGGGUUAAGUCUCGCAACGAGCGCAACCCUUAAGCUUAGUUGCCAUCAUUAAGUUGGGCACUCUAAGUUGACUGCCGGUGACAAACCGGAGGAAGGUGGGGAUGACGUCAAAUCAUCAUGCCCCUUAUGAUUUGGGCUACACACGUGCUACAAUGGACAAUACAAAGGGCAGCGAAACCGCGAGGUCAAGCAAAUCCCAUAAAGUUGUUCUCAGUUCGGAUUGUAGUCUGCAACUCGACUACAUGAAGCUGGAAUCGCUAGUAAUCGUAGAUCAGCAUGCUACGGUGAAUACGUUCCCGGGUCU